Molecule: ribosomal RNA, 253 nt
Filed under: uncultured prokaryote
Description: partial 16S ribosomal RNA
Rfam family: Bacterial small subunit ribosomal RNA
Source: RNAcentral
UACAGAGGGGGCAAGCGUUAUUCGGAAUUAUUGGGCGUAAAGGGCGCGUAGGCGGCCUGGCAAGUGGAAGGUGAAAUCCCUCAGCUUAACCGAGGAACUGCCUCCCAAACUGCUUGGCUCGAGACCGGGAGAGGUGAGUGGAAUUCCCAGUGUAGCGGUGAAAUGCGUAGAUAUCGGUAGGAACACCAGUGGCGAAGGCGGUCUCCUGGGGCACUCUUGACGCUGAGGCGCGAAAGCUGGGGGAGCGAACGGG